UACGGAGGGUGCAAGCGUUAUCCGGAUUCACUGGGUUUAAAGGGCGCGUAGGGGGGUUGAUAAGUCAGUGGUGAAAUCCCCGAGCUUAACUUGGGAACUGCCAUUGAUACUAUUGAUCUUGAAUACCGUGGAGGUCAGCGGAAUAUGUCAUGUAGCGGUGAAAUGCUUAGAUAUGACAUAGAACACCAAUUGCGAAGGCAGCUGGCUACGCGAAUAUUGACACUGAUGCACGAAAGCGUGGGGAUCAAACAGG
This 253-nucleotide ribosomal RNA is filed under the name uncultured bacterium. Its description in RNAcentral is "partial 16S ribosomal RNA". It matches the Rfam family "Bacterial small subunit ribosomal RNA", at positions 524 to 776 of the family's 1533-position model. The record is from RNAcentral.